CCACAAGGAACGCGAAGACACCGUGUGUCGUGCAUAGGCACCAAUGUUCCUCAACCACGGAAAACUGGCCGCAACUGAGAGAUUAGGGACAUGCAGGGCCCAUGUGGGGAUUUUUGCGUUGUCUAAGGACAAGCACUGACGCCGGCUCCCCGGACGUUCAUGUUGAGGCGGGAUGGCGGUUUUGUGUCGGUUGUGGACAAAUCGUGCACGCGGAAAUUUUUACUGUUGUUCAGUCGUUGUCUUCGCGAGUUGUCUUCCUAUUUGUGUGGUGAGAACAAACGUCAUUGCGAGUGCUCGAACGAGUUGUGCUGCAAGGACUCAAGCGGUGUUACUUUAGUGAAAUGUGGGACUCGAUAGAGAAACGUCGUGGAUGAAAAGGAAGGUGCCGACACUAUGACGGACUUGAGCACUACACUCUGCCAAGUUCCUGGGAGCUACGACAGUCCAGGAUCAGCAAUAACAACCCUGGUCUUCAAGCAUCCACGUAUGCCGGUUGACGUUCGCCAGCGCAAAAGCCCGCGCCUUCACGUCGAAUUUAAAG
Molecule: non-coding RNA, 541 nt
Organism: Dermacentor albipictus
Lineage: Eukaryota; Metazoa; Arthropoda; Arachnida; Ixodida; Ixodidae
Source: RefSeq, a predicted model, not a curated record